UACAGAGGUCCCAAGCGUUGUUCGGAUUCACUGGGCGUAAAGGGUGCGUAGGCGGUCGGGUAAGUCUGAUGUGAAAUCUCCAAGCUCAACUUGGAAAUGGCAUCGGAUACUAUUCGGCUCGAGGAAUGGAGGGGAGACUGGAAUACUUGGUGUAGCAGUGAAAUGCGUAGAUAUCAAGUGGAACACCAGUGGCGAAGGCGAGUCCCUGGACAUUUCCUGACACUGAGGCACGAAAGCUAGGGGAGCAAACAGG
Molecule: ribosomal RNA, 253 nt
Filed under: uncultured bacterium
Lineage: Bacteria
Description: partial 16S ribosomal RNA
Rfam family: Bacterial small subunit ribosomal RNA
Source: RNAcentral